This 298-nucleotide signal recognition particle RNA is filed under the name Saimiri boliviensis boliviensis (Bolivian squirrel monkey). RNAcentral's name for it is "Metazoan signal recognition particle RNA (ENSSBOG00000003035.1)". It matches the Rfam family "Metazoan signal recognition particle RNA". Rfam says of the family: The signal recognition particle (SRP) is a universally conserved ribonucleoprotein. It is involved in the co-translational targeting of proteins to membranes. The eukaryotic SRP consists of a 300-nucleotide 7S RNA and six proteins: SRPs 72, 68, 54, 19, 14, and 9. The record is from RNAcentral. Lineage: Eukaryota; Metazoa; Chordata; Mammalia; Primates; Cebidae.
GCUUGAUGCAGUGGCGCAUGCCUGUAGUCCCAGUUACUUGGAGGCUGAGGUGGGAGGAUCGCUUGAGCCCAGGAUUUCUGGGCUUUAGUGCUCUAUGCCGAUCGGGUGUCCGCACUAAGUUUGGCAUCAAUACAGUGACCGCCCAGAAGUGGGGGACCACCUGGUUGCCUAAGGAGGGGUGAACCGGCCCAGGUCGGAAACGGAGCAGGUCAAAACUCCCGUGCUGAUCAGUAGUGGGAUUGCAGCUGUGAAUAGCCACUGCACGCCAGCCUGGGCAACAUAGCAAGACCCCAUCUCU